CCUACGGGGGGCUGCAGUGGGGAAUAUUGGACAAUGGGCGAAAGCCUGAUCCAGCCAUGCCGCGUGUGUGAAGAAGGCCUUCGGGUUGUAAAGCACUUUCAGUGGGGAAGAAAGCCUUGGGGCUAAUACCCUCGAGGAAGGACAUCACCCACAGAAGAAGCACCGGCUAACUCCGUGCCAGCAGCCGCGGUAAUACGGAGGGUGCGAGCGUUAAUCGGAAUUACUGGGCGUAAAGCGCGCGUAGGCGGUCUGAUAAGCCGGUUGUGAAAGCCCCGGGCUCAACCUGGGAACGGCAUCCGGAACUGUCAGGCUAGAGUGUAGGAGAGGAAGGUAGAAUUCCCGGUGUAGCGGUGAAAUGCGUAGAGAUCGGGAGGAAUACCAGUGGCGAAGGCGGCCUUCUGGACUGACACUGACGCUGAGGUGCGAAAGCGUGGGUAGCAAACAGGAUUAGAUACCCUGGUAGUC
RNAcentral lists this ribosomal RNA (465 nucleotides) under Vreelandella stevensii. RNAcentral describes it as "partial 16S ribosomal RNA". It matches the Rfam family "Bacterial small subunit ribosomal RNA", at positions 338 to 795 of the family's 1533-position model. The record is from RNAcentral. Lineage: Bacteria; Pseudomonadati; Pseudomonadota; Gammaproteobacteria; Oceanospirillales; Halomonadaceae.